CUGUGACCUGUUCUUGGCCAGGGGGCAGGGAGACAGACAUGGCACAGGACAGCCUUUUGAAAGGCUGACACAGCCUUUGAAAGGCCCACAGUGACAGCAAGAGCCUAGGUGACCCUGUGAAGGGGUCCCUAUUGAAGAUAUUGUCAUCCCUGGACAGUGCUGGCAUGAUACUGAGGUUUGAAGAAACUCAUCGACUCUUUCUGAUGAGGAAGACUUCCCUGAGGGGAGGACAAAAAAUGGUUCCAGUGGCAAAAGAGGCUGGGAUUUAGAUGGUUUCCAUGCUCAGUUGCAGAGAUGCUGCUCUGCCAGGUUGAAUGUUGUCAGGCUGUACAAAACCCUGGCUGUGUGUGGUCACAGCAGGGUUGCCUGUUCCCUGGAUGAGGAGUUUUCAGGGAGUUUACAGAAAGAGAGUUAUCUUGGGGCUUCUCAGCCAUAUCAGCAAAACUGACUUCUUCAGGGAUGAAGGACUGAGACAGGAGAUGAGGACUCUUCUGGCAUGGAAGAAGAGAAGAGCUGGAGCAACCACUGUUGGUGGGAGGAAGCAUUCCUCCUUGCUUGUCCUAUGCGUCUACAAGCCUUUGUCCUAUUGCCCUACACACUCUCUGCCUGCUUGAGCGCAGCAGCCAGCCUGGCUCAGUGAUUUGGCCUACGUGAAGCAGCUGGUGGGGUCACUGUCCCACACAUCUCACCCCUCAGUCUAACCUACAUUGCUCAAGGGCUAGGCCUUGCAUAUAGAAGCCCUGAUCCUUCUCUUCACAGCUGUUGCGCUAGACACCCCAGGCCACUACUGCAAGCAUGGUGUUUGCUGUGUUGGCAUUCAUACAGUUUUUGGUAGAAGGUGAUGCCACUUUCCUUUAUCCCAAACCUCAGCAGGUGAGCAGAUGUAGCUGUACUGAUGGAAAAGAUGGCUACACCACCAUGCUUGUCACUGCCACCUUGUUGGAAGCUACUGGCCCUGCCAAUCUGCCAGAGAACCUGUU
RNAcentral lists this long non-coding RNA (980 nucleotides) under Struthio camelus australis. RNAcentral describes it as "lncRNA (ENSSCUG00000008286.1)". Lineage: Eukaryota; Metazoa; Chordata; Aves; Struthioniformes; Struthionidae. The record is from RNAcentral.